Molecule: long non-coding RNA, 2415 nt
Organism: Clupea harengus (Atlantic herring)
Lineage: Eukaryota; Metazoa; Chordata; Actinopteri; Clupeiformes; Clupeidae
Source: Ensembl
UUUGUCCCUUGUCGCGUCUCGUAGGGACCAGGUCUGCUUGAAUCGAAGGGAUAACUUUCAUGAACACACCCAAAAUCGCAGCUAGUCAGAGGCAAUAUUUUGAUAGAAUGACUACUCUUGUUGUGAAUGCGAUACAACGCCUGAUUGUCUAAUAUUAGUUGACAGUUACAGUCAGUGUUUCACACUGUGAGUUAACCUACAUUAAACAUUACUUCUUACAUUCGAAUCCACGCAUCUUAUCUAGCUUGCAAGCCCGCUAACGGGUGCCUCUCCUGCAUCAGCUAUACAAUGGAUGAAGAGUUAGACUGCAAACCAAGUGUUACGCCCACUUGUAAGACUGAACCGGAUCCUAUGGAACCGAUGGAUGCCAUACCUAACAUUAAUGGUUUAGAAGCAGAACAUUUGGGAAUUAAGGUGGAGGUCAUUGAAGUAGAAAACCCGAAAGAGGAGGAGGUGGAUGAAACCUAUUCGGAUGCCCCGCACACCUCAUGCAAAAAGCGUUUUAACUCUGAGGAGGAGGCGAUACUGUGCAGGGAGGUGCUCGCCCACUGGGACGAGCUCUUUGGCCAGCGGCGCCACCUGCUGCCCAGGGCAGGCCGAGGUUCCAUUUGGAACGAGGUGGCGGCGACCGUCCGGUCCUCGUCCGGGGUGGCUAGGGAGGGCGAAGAGGUCCGCAAGAAGUGGUACCACUUCAACAACCAGCUGAAAGCCAAGCUGGCGGUGAUUAGCGCCUCGGGAGGAGAGAACGGGAACCCCGGGCCCGAGGCGCUCAGUGAGCUGGAGGCUGAAGUGGCCUCUAAGAUGAAGGAGACGACCGCUAGAAGAGAUGCUGGACGCGUAGCCCAGGGAUUACCACAGGAACUUGACAAAACCUCAGUAAAAUGCCAGGCCUACCACAAGCGCUUCAGCAAAGACGAAGAGGAGAUUUUAUACGAGGAGAUCCUGCAACACUGGGAAGAGCUUUUCGGCGAACGUCACAACCUCCUACCUCGCGGCGGCCGCUCCGCAAUCUGGAACAACAUCGCCGACAAGAUGAACGGCAAGUCCGGGUCGAGUGUCGCCCGCGACGGGGAGGACGUGCGGAAGAAGUGGUGCAACCUCAAGAAGCGACUCCAGCCGAAGCUUUGUCCAAUGGCAGCCAUCCAGCCAGGGGAGCUUGGAGAGGGUGGGAGCACUGCAGAGGAUCUCAGCCUGUUGAAGCAGAAGAUUGUGUCCAGGAUGAAGAAGGAUGCAGCUGACAGUGAGACGGGGACUAGCACCACCUGUAGCCGGCGUUUCUCCAAAGAGGAGGAAGACCUUCUCUACGCUGAGAUUCUCAACCACUGGGAGGCGCUGUUUGGCGAGAGGAACCAGCUCCUGCCCCGCGGCAGCAGCGCCCCCGUUUGGACCCUCGUCACGGCCAAUCUGAACGCCACGCCGGGGGCCCGGCCCAGAGACGUGGAGGAAGUGCGCAAGAAGUGGCACAACCUGAAGAACCAGCUGAAGGCCAAGCUGGCGCCCGCCUGGGCAUCGGAUGGCAGAGGCGGAGGUCAGCAGGGGCUCGUCCAGCUUACGCCACUGGAGGAGAGGAUCGCCUUCAGGAUGAAGAUGGCCAUCGCUGGGUCGAGGGCGCCCAACGACUGCGCCGGGACAAUCCUUGGUGACCCAUCGCAGACUGAAGAGAGCAUGUCCGACCGCUCCAACACAGAACAUCUGUUGCAGGACCCCCUAGCUCCUCUUUCUCCCCCUCCAUCUCCGUCUCCUCCUCCUCUUCCUCCAUCUCUGCCUCCUCCCCCAUCCACGGUGAUCACAUUGACGCCCCAAGCCGUUCAGAUGAUCCUGACCAAACAAGAUGAAAACAACCGUCUGCUGAGGGAGACCCUCCAGGUCCAGAAAGCCAGCCUCGAGGUCCAGAAGUCGUGCGUGAAGGCCUUACAGGAAGUGCGGGUGGCGCUGGUGGGCCUCGCGGAGUUCCAGAAAGCCCGGGUGGAGCUGGGCAUGAAGUCCGCCGGACCGCUGGGACAGUGCUGCGCUCCACCGGGGGCUUCGCUCGAGCAUCGCGGCUCCGCGGAAGCUGCUCUUGUGGAUCCUGUGCAAACGCUAGCCAGCGCGUUGUCUGUCGUAGCCAGCACCUUCCCUAGUUCUGACACCAGCGGCACCACCACCACCGUCACACCGACCACCACCGUCACACCGACCACCACCGUCACACCGACCGCCACUCCUCCAUCAGCAGGCCUACCACAGCACCCCUCCCCUCCUGUCUCCCCUCCAGGGGGCGCUGUUCCUCCACAAGCUCAAAAGAAAAAGAGAGGACGACCACCAAAGAACAUAGGAGUAGCUUCUCCUUCCUAUGGGAAAAAGAGAGGACGACCACCAAAGAACAUAGGAGUAGCUUCUCCUUCCUAUGGGAAAAAGCAAAAGACCUAAUCCAGC